Molecule: ribosomal RNA, 643 nt
Filed under: uncultured Bacillus sp.
Lineage: Bacteria; Bacillati; Bacillota; Bacilli; Caryophanales; Bacillaceae
Description: bacterial SSU rRNA
Rfam family: Bacterial small subunit ribosomal RNA
Source: RNAcentral
GAUUAGAAGCUUGCUUCUAUGACGUUAGCGGCGGACGGGUGAGUAACACGUGGGCAACCUGCCUGUAAGACUGGGAUAACUUCGGGAAACCGAAGCUAAUACCGGAUAGGAUCUUCUCCUUCAUGGGAGAUGAUUGAAAGAUGGUUUCGGCUAUCACUUACAGAUGGGCCCGCGGUGCAUUAGCUAGUUGGUGAGGUAACGGCUCACCAAGGCAACGAUGCAUAGCCGACCUGAGAGGGUGAUCGGCCACACUGGGACUGAGACACGGCCCAGACUCCUACGGGAGGCAGCAGUAGGGAAUCUUCCGCAAUGGACGAAAGUCUGACGGAGCAACGCCGCGUGAGUGAUGAAGGCUUUCGGGUCGUAAAACUCUGUUGUUAGGGAAGAACAAGUACGAGAGUAACUGCUCGUACCUUGACGGUACCUAACCAGAAAGCCACGGCUAACUACGUGCCAGCAGCCGCGGUAAUACGUAGGUGGCAAGCGUUAUCCGGAAUUAUUGGGCGUAAAGCGCGCGCAGGCGGUUUCUUAAGUCUGAUGUGAAAGCCCACGGCUCAACCGUGGAGGGUCAUUGGAAACUGGGGAACUUGAGUGCAGAAGAGAAAAGCGGAAUUCCACGUGUAGCGGUGAAAUGCGUAGAGAU